Molecule: non-coding RNA, 67 nt
Organism: Bombardia bombarda
Lineage: Eukaryota; Fungi; Ascomycota; Sordariomycetes; Sordariales; Lasiosphaeriaceae
Source: the annotation of a GenBank genome assembly
GGCUAUGUGGCCGAGUAGUUUAAGUCUGUUGGGUUCGCCUGCGCAGGUUCGAGUCCUGUCAUAGUCG